Labrus bergylta (ballan wrasse) is the source of this 748-nucleotide non-coding RNA. Lineage: Eukaryota; Metazoa; Chordata; Actinopteri; Labriformes; Labridae. The record is from RefSeq and is a predicted model, not a curated record.
UGGUGGAAUAGUUCUUGGGAAUCUGUCCAACGAAGUGACUAUUUUUCGCCUUUUCCUCAAACAGCAUGGAUUGUGUUGUUGUUUCUUGUUGUUAACUGAUCACUGUUUCUUCUUUAAAUCCUUUCUUUAACUGUUCAGUCCUGUUGGUAGGAUAACAAACGUGCUCCAUGGGCCAGUGGACGACAGUUUGACAGUCUGCCACUUGAUCUUUACAGAAGUCUCGGCUCAUCCUCGUGUUGUUUUCCCCGCUGAAUAUAAAAUGAAAUUCCCUGAACUGAAACUAAUUUCUCCCAGGUUUGAUACCAAACAUAUAAAAACUCUUGGCUCAUGGAUCUCACGCUCACAUCAAAAGACUCAGUCCACAUUUCAACAUGUGUAUCCAGGUGUGAUCAGAGACUCCUGCAAUGUUUCCACCACAUUUAUUCCCGUGAAGGUGACUGCGUUCCUGCAGUGUGAGAAGGGUUGGAAAAAGUCGGCGGGUGUCUGCAGAGAGAGAUCGGCACACCGACGUCUCCGCUGCCUACAUCCAAACGUUUGGUGGAGUCAAACUCAGACAUGAUUACACCGAGUGUGGCAGGGAUUGCAUCAUAUCUGUUAUUCCAGCUCAGGAGGAAAGCAUGUAAAAAAAAAUAUUGUUGAAUAUAAAAAUUCUCUGGAGAAUCUUAAAACUCGUGUUUCCUGUUAAUACUCUGUUAUUUUAAAUCCCCAGACUAAUUAAAUGUGUUUGUGCGUGUUACCGCAUCAUAAA